CCUAUACAUGCAGUCGAACGAAACUUUUCCUUACACCGAAUGCUUGCAUUACACCGUAAGAAGUUGAGUGGCGGACGGGUGAGUAACACGUGGGUAACCUGCCUAAAAGAAGGGGAUAACACUUGGAAACAGGUGCUAAUACCGUAUAUCUCUAAGGAUCGCAUGAUCCUUAGAUGAAAGAUGGUUCUGCUAUCGCUUUUAGAUGGACCCGCGGCGUAUUAACUAGUUGGUGGGGUAACGGCCUACCAAGGUGAUGAUACGUAGCCGAACUGAGAGGUUGAUCGGCCACAUUGGGACUGAGACACGGCCCAAACUCCUACGGGAGGCAGCAGUAGGGAAUCUUCCACAAUGGACGCAAGUCUGAUGGAGCAACGCCGCGUGAGUGAAGAAGGUCUUCGGAUCGUAAAACUCUGUUGUUAGAGAAGAACACGAGUGAGAGUAACUGUUCAUUCGAUGACGGUAUCUAACCAGCAAGUCACGGCUAACUACGUGCCAGCAGCCGCGGUAAUACGUAGGUGGCAAGCGUUGUCCGGAUUUAUUGGGCGUAAAGGGAACGCAGGCGGUCUUUUAAGUCUGAUGUGAAAGCCUUCGGCUUAACCGGAGUAGUGCAUUGGAAACUGGAAGACUUGAGUGCAGAAGAGGAGAGUGGAACUCCAUGUGUAGCGGUGAAAUGCGUAGAUAUAUGGAAGAACACCAGUGGCGAAAGCGGCUCUCUGGUCUGUAACUGACGCUGAGGUUCGAAAGCGUGGGUAGCAAACAGGAUUAGAUACCCUGGUAGUCCACGCCGUAAACGAUGAAUGCUAGGUGUUGGAAGGGUUUCCGCCCUUCAGUGCCGCAGCUAACGCAAUAAGCAUUCCGCCUGGGGAGUACGACCGCAAGGUUGAAACUCAAAGGAAUUGACGGGGGCCCGCACAAGCGGUGGAGCAUGUGGUUUAAUUCGAAGCAACGCGAAGAACCUUACCAGGUCUUGACAUCCUUUGACCACCUAAGAGAUUAGGUUUUCCCUUCGGGGACAAGUGACAGGUGGUGCAUGGCUGUCGUCAGCUCGUGUCGUGAGAAGUUUGGGUUAAAUCCCGCAACGAGCGCAACCCUUGUUGUCAGUUGCCGCCAUUAAAUUGGGCACUCUUGCCAGACUGCCCGUGACAACCCGAAGAAAGGUGGGGACAAACUCCAGUCUCCAGCCCCCUUUUAACCGGGGGACCCCCUGCUUCCAUGGAGGGUCACAAAUCGCCGAACGCCGGGUUUACUUAUUUUUUAAAGCGUUUUU
Molecule: ribosomal RNA, 1267 nt
Filed under: Ligilactobacillus salivarius
Lineage: Bacteria; Bacillati; Bacillota; Bacilli; Lactobacillales; Lactobacillaceae
Description: bacterial SSU rRNA
Rfam family: Bacterial small subunit ribosomal RNA
Source: RNAcentral